This 433-nucleotide ribosomal RNA is filed under the name uncultured bacterium. RNAcentral describes it as "partial 16S ribosomal RNA". It matches the Rfam family "Bacterial small subunit ribosomal RNA", at positions 29 to 507 of the family's 1533-position model. The record is from RNAcentral.
AACGAACGCUGGCGGCAUGCCUAACACAUGCAAGUCGAACGAGACCUUCGGGUCUAGUGGCGCACGGGUGCGUAACGCGUGGGAACCUGCCCUUAGGUUCGGAAUAACUCCCCGAAAGGGGUGCUAAUACCGGAUAAUGUCUUCGGACCAAAGAUUUAUCGCCGUUGGAUGGGCCCGCGUUGGAUUAGCUAGUUGGUAGGGUAAAAGCCUACCAAGGCGACGAUCCAUAGCUGGUCUGAGAGGAUGAUCAGCCACACUGGGACUGAGACACGGCCCAGACUCCUACGGGAGGCAGCAGUGGGGAAUAUUGGACAAUGGGCGAAAGGCUGAUCCAGCAAUGCCGCGUGAGUGAUGAAGGCCUUAGAGUUGUAAAGCUCUUUUACCCGGGAUGAUAAUGACAGUACCGGGAGAAUAAGCUCCGGCUAACUCCGUG